UUUGGGUACGACGUCAACAACUUGGUGACCUUCCCCAAUCAGUCCUUUCGGAGAGUGCGUGUUGGUUGGAUCGAUCCUCAUGGUCCUGAUGGAAAGAAGUUCACCCUGAAUGGAAGUGCCGUUGUGUGGAAUCCCAAGUUCAAUCAGACAGUUCCUCGUGCUGCCUGUGUGGAGAGCUGCCAGCCCGGUUACAGCAAGAUUGUCCAGCAGGGGGAGCCAGUUUGUUGUUACCAAUGCGCUCGGUGCCCGGAAGGCAGAAUUUCCAUCCAUGCUGAUGCAGAUCGAUGUGAGAAGUGCUAUGAAGAUCGGUAUCCAAACCAGGGCCAGGAUCGCUGCCUCUUGAAAAGUGUGGUUUACUUGUCCUACAGAGAACCUUUGGGAGCAACUUUGGGGUGUUGUGCCUUUUUGUUUUCUGGGCUGAC
This is a non-coding RNA of Pogona vitticeps (central bearded dragon), 422 nucleotides long. The record is from RefSeq and is a predicted model, not a curated record. Lineage: Eukaryota; Metazoa; Chordata; Lepidosauria; Squamata; Agamidae.